GAUGAACGCUGGCGGCGCGCCUAACACAUGCAAGUCGAAACGGCACCCCUCUCCGGAGGGAAGCGAGCGGCGAAACGGCUGAGUAACACGUUGGAGAACCUCGCCCCCUCCCCCGGGAUAGCCGCCCGAAAGGACGGGUAAUACCGGAAUACCCCGGGGUGCCGCAUGGCACCCCGGCUAAAGCCCCGACGGGAGGGGAUGGCUCCGCGGCCCAUCAGGUAGACGGCGGGGUGACGGCCCACCGUGCCGACAACGGGUAGCCGGGUUGAGAGACCGACCGGCCAGAUUGGGACUGAGACACGGCCCAGACUCCUACGGGAGGCAGCAGUGGGGAAUCUUGCGCAAUGGGGGGAACCCUGACGCAGCGACGCCGCGUGCGGGACGGAGGCCUUCGGGUCGUAAACCGCUUUCAGCAGGGAAGAGUCAAGACUGUACCUGCAGAAGAAGCCCCGGCUAACUACGUGCCAGCAGCCGCGGUAAUACGUAGGGGGCGAGCGUUAUCCGGAUUCAUUGGGCGUAAAGCGCGCGUAGGCGGCCCGGCAGGCCGGGGGUCGAGCGGGGGGCUCACCCCCCCGAACCCCCCCGAACCUCCGCGGCUUGGGUCCGGUAGGGGAGGGUGGAACACCCGGUGUAGCGGUGGAAUGCGCAGAUAUCGGGUGGAACACCGGUGGCGAAGGCGGCCCUCUGGGCCGAGACCGACGCUGAGGCGCGAAAGCUGGGGGAGCGAACAGGAUUAGAUACCCUGGUAGUCCCAGCCGUAAACGAUGGACGCUAGGUGUGGGGGGACGAUCCCCCCGUGCCGCAGCCAGCGCAUUAAGCGUCCCGCCUAGGGAGUACGGCCGCAAGGCUAAAACUCAAAGGAAUUGACGGGGGCCCGCACAAGCAGCGGAGCAUGUGGCUUAAUUCGAAGCAACGCGAAGAACCUUACCAGGGCUUGACAUAUGGGUGAAGCGGGGGAGACCCCGUGGCCGAGAGGAGCCCAUACAGGUGGUGCAUGGCUGUCGUCAGCUCGUGUCGUGAGAUGUUGGGUUAAGUCCCGCAACGAGCGCAACCCCCGCCGCGUGUUGCCAUCGGGUGAUGUCGGGAACCCACGCGGGACCGCCGCCGUCAAGGUGGAGGAGGGCGGGGACGACGUCAAGUCAUCAUGCCCCUUAUGCCCUGGGCUGCACACGUGCUACAAUGGCCGGUACAGAGGGAUGCCACCCCGCGAGGGGGAGCGGAUCCCGGAAAGCCGGCCCCAGUUCGGAUUGGGGGCUGCAACCCGCCCCCAUGAAGUCGGAGUUGCUAGUAAUCGCGGAUCAGCAUGCCGCGGUGAAUGCGUUCCCGGGCCU
This 1331-nucleotide ribosomal RNA is filed under the name uncultured bacterium. RNAcentral's name for it is "bacterial SSU rRNA". It matches the Rfam family "Bacterial small subunit ribosomal RNA", at positions 28 to 1381 of the family's 1533-position model. The record is from RNAcentral.